This 215-nucleotide unclassified non-coding RNA is filed under the name Podospora bulbillosa. RNAcentral's name for it is "partial internal transcribed spacer region". The record is from RNAcentral. Lineage: Eukaryota; Fungi; Ascomycota; Sordariomycetes; Sordariales; Podosporaceae.
AAGUCGUAACAAGGUUUCCGUUAGUGAACCAGCGGAGGGAUCAUUACAGAGUUGCAAAACUCCCCAAACCAUCGUGAACCUUUACCGCUAAACAGUUGCUUCGGCGGGUGGCCCGCGGGAGGAAUCCAAAAAACCAUCGCUUUCAGUACCGGGCUCUCUGAGUUACUGUACUUUUAAUUAAGUCAAAACUUUCAACAACGGAUCUCUUGGUUCUU